This 497-nucleotide ribosomal RNA is filed under the name uncultured bacterium. RNAcentral describes it as "partial 16S ribosomal RNA". It matches the Rfam family "Bacterial small subunit ribosomal RNA", at positions 28 to 507 of the family's 1533-position model. The record is from RNAcentral.
GACGAACGCUGGCGGCGUGCCUAAUACAUGCAAGUUGAGCGCUGAAGGUUGGUACUUGUACCGACUGGAUGAGCAGCGAACGGGUGAGUAACGCGUGGGGAAUCUGCCUUUGAGCGGGGGACAACAUUUGGAAACGAAUGCUAAUACCGCAUAAAAACUUUAAACACAAGUUUUAAGUUUGAAAGAUGCAAUUGCAUCACUCAAAGAUGAUCCCGCGUUGUAUUAGCUAGUUGGUGAGGUAAAGGCUCACCAAAGCGAUGAUACAUAGCCGACCUGAGAGGGUGAUCGGCCACAUUGGGACUGAGACACGGCCCAAACUCCUACGGGAGGCAGCAGUAGGGAAUCUUCGGCAAUGGACGAAAGUCUGACCGAGCAACGCCGCGUGAGUGAAGAAGGUUUUCGGAUCGUAAAACUCUGUUGGUAGAGAAGAACGUUGGUGAGAGUGGAAAGCUCAUCAAGUGACGGUAACUACCCAGAAAGGGACGGCUAACUACGUG